AAGCCUUGUUAUCCUCCAGCCGCCUUCUCUGGGCUCUGGCCUUCCCUCAAGGCAAGAUUC
RNAcentral lists this small nucleolar RNA (60 nucleotides) under Euglena gracilis. Its description in RNAcentral is "Eg-p44 AGAUGN box pseudouridylation-guide". The record is from RNAcentral. Lineage: Eukaryota; Euglenozoa; Euglenophyceae; Euglenales; Euglenaceae.